RNAcentral lists this transfer RNA (72 nucleotides) under Pangasius djambal. RNAcentral describes it as "tRNA-Glu". The record is from RNAcentral. Lineage: Eukaryota; Metazoa; Chordata; Actinopteri; Siluriformes; Pangasiidae.
UCCCCAGAGGAAUAGUGGUUAGGCCACGGCACUCUCACUGCCGCAGCCCGGGUUCGAUUCUCGGCCAGGAAA